UGGCUCAGAUUGAACGCUGGCGGCAGGCUUAACACAUGCAAGUCGAGCGGGGGAAGGUAGCUUGCUACUGGACCUAGCGGCGGACGGGUGAGUAAUGCUUAGGAAUCUGCCUAUUAGUGGGGGACAACAUCUCGAAAGGGAUGCUAAUACCGCAUACGUCCUACGGGAGAAAGCAGGGGAUCUUCGGACCUUGCGCUAAUAGAUGAGCCUAAGUCGGAUUAGCUAGUUGGUGGGGUAAAGGCCUACCAAGGCGACGAUCUGUAGCGGGUCUGAGAGGAUGAUCCGCCACACUGGGACUGAGACACGGCCCAGACUCCUACGGGAGGCAGCAGUGGGGAAUAUUGGACAAUGGGGGGAACCCUGAUCCAGCCAUGCCGCGUGUGUGAAGAAGGCCUUAUGGUUGUAAAGCACUUUAAGCGAGGAGGAGGCUACUUUAGUUAAUACCUAGAGAUAGUGGACGUUACUCGCAGAAUAAGCACCGGCUAACUCUGUGCCAGCAGCCGCGGUAAUACAGAGGGUGCGAGCGUUAAUCGGAUUUACUGGGCGUAAAGCGUGCGUAGGCGGCUUAUUAAGUCGGAUGUGAAAUCCCCGAGCUUAACUUGGGAAUUGCAUUCGAUACUGGUGAGCUAGAGUAUGGGAGAGGAUGGUAGAAUUCCAGGUGUAGCGGUGAAAUGCGUAGAGAUCUGGAGGAAUACCGAUGGCGAAGGCAGCCAUCUGGCCUAAUACUGACGCUGAGGUACGAAAGCAUGGGGAGCAAACAGGAUUAGAUACCCUGGUAGUCCAUGCCGUAAACGAUGUCUACUAGCCGUUGGGGCCUUUGAGGCUUUAGUGGCGCAGCUAACGCGAUAAGUAGACCGCCUGGGGAGUACGGUCGCAAGACUAAAACUCAAAUGAAUUGACGGGGGCCCGCACAAGCGGUGGAGCAUGUGGUUUAAUUCGAUGCAACGCGAAGAACCUUACCUGGCCUUGACAUA
This 974-nucleotide ribosomal RNA is filed under the name Acinetobacter baumannii. Its description in RNAcentral is "bacterial SSU rRNA". It matches the Rfam family "Bacterial small subunit ribosomal RNA", at positions 20 to 988 of the family's 1533-position model. The record is from RNAcentral. Lineage: Bacteria; Pseudomonadati; Pseudomonadota; Gammaproteobacteria; Moraxellales; Moraxellaceae.